CCUACGGGAGGCAGCAGUAGGGAAUAUUGCUCAAUGGGGGAAACCCUGAAGCAGCAACGCCGCGUGGAGGAUGAAGGUUUUAGGAUUGUAAACUCCUUUUGUGAGAGAAGAAAAUGACGGUAUCUCAGGAAUGAGCAACGGCUAACGCAGUGCCAGCAGCCGCGGUAAUACGGAGGGUGGAAGCGUUACUCGGAAUCACUGGGCGUAAAGGGUGCGCAGGCGGGAUUGUAGGUCAGAUGUGAAGUCCUUUAGCUUAACUACAGAACUGCAGUUGAAACUGUGAGUCUAGAGUGUGGGAGAGGUAGGUGGAAUUCGUGGUGUAGGGGUGAAAUCCGUAGAUAUCAAGAGGAAUACUCAUUGCGAAGGCGACCUACUGGAACAUUACUGACGCUCAUGCACGAAAGCGUGGGGAGCAAACAGGAUUAGAUACCCCAGUAGUC
This 440-nucleotide ribosomal RNA is filed under the name uncultured bacterium. Its description in RNAcentral is "partial 16S ribosomal RNA". It matches the Rfam family "Bacterial small subunit ribosomal RNA", at positions 338 to 795 of the family's 1533-position model. The record is from RNAcentral.